Long non-coding RNA from Rosa chinensis, 367 nucleotides. RefSeq lists it as uncharacterized. The record is from RefSeq and is a predicted model, not a curated record. Lineage: Eukaryota; Viridiplantae; Streptophyta; Magnoliopsida; Rosales; Rosaceae. The transcript has 3 exons.
GUGACCAGUAGAAGGCAUCUUAUUAAAAACUGAUAUGCAAGACCGAUCACUCAUUCAAGAAUCAGAUUUGGAGUUCCAAAAGCUUAAGUGAUCUUUUUGAGCAAAUGAGGCAGAUUAGGUUAGGGAUUUGGGGAAACCUAAUUGGGUUGUACAAGUUUGCUGCCAUAUUACUGAUUCUAUCAGUUUGUGCGUAAGGUUGAACAAGUCACGGCCACGAAACUAAUCAAGUAAGAAUGCUUAGGGAAGAACUACAGCUUCUGCAAGAGCCUACACAAAGGUACUUGCUGCAUUCAUAUCCUGAUACAGUUGGAAAAGAGUUCAUUUUGAAGUAAGGAAUUCCUUCAUUGCAUGAUGUUUGAUAUUAAGA